GAGUUCACAUCGGCGGCGCGGUUUGGCACCUCGAUGUCGGCCCAUCGCAUCCUGGGGCUGGAGCAGGUCCCAAGGGUUCGGCUGUUCGCCGAUUAAAGCGGUACGCGAGCUGGGUUUAAAACGUCGUGAGACAGUUUGGUCUCUAUCUGCCGUGGGCGCAGGACACUUGAGAGGAGCUAUCCAUAGUACGAGAGGACCUGGAUGGACGUGCCUCUUGUGAUCCGGUUGUCACGCCAGUGGCAUAGCCGGGUAGCAAUGUACGGAACAGAUAACCGCUGAAAGCAUCUAAGCGGGAAGCUAGCCUCGAGAUUAGGUGUCCCGGUCGCAAGACCCUAAAGACCCCUUGUAGACUACAAGGUUGAUAGGCCGGAGGUGGAAGCGUAGCGAUACGCGGAGCUGACCGGUACUAAUAGGUCGUGCGGCUUGACCUA
This 431-nucleotide ribosomal RNA is filed under the name Myxococcales bacterium. RNAcentral's name for it is "partial 23S ribosomal RNA". It matches the Rfam family "Bacterial large subunit ribosomal RNA", at positions 2496 to 2925 of the family's 2925-position model. Lineage: Bacteria; Pseudomonadati; Myxococcota; Myxococcia; Myxococcales. The record is from RNAcentral.